UUCAGUGAAAUCGAGUAGGGCGGGACACGUGAUAUCCUGUCUGAAUAUGGGGGGACCAUCCUCCAAGGCUAAAUACUACUGACUGACCGAUAGUGAACCAGUACCGUGAGGGAAAGGCGAAAAGAACCCCUGUGAGGGGAGUGAAAUAGAACCUGAAACCGUGUACGUACAAGCAGUAGGAGCAGGCUUUGUCCUGUGACUGCGUACCUUUUGUAUAAUGGGUCAGCGACUUAUAUUCAGUGGCAAGGUUAACCAUCUAGGGGAGCCGUAGGGAAACCGAGUCUUAACUGGGCGUUCAGUCUCUGGAUAUAGACCCGAAACCAGGUGAUCUAGCCAUGGGCAGGUUGAAGGUUGAGUAACAUCAACUGGAGGACCGAACCGACUAAUGUUGAAAAAUUAGCGGAUGACUUGUGGCUAGGGGUGAAAGGCCAAUCAAACCUGGAGAUAGCUGGUUCUCCCCGAAAGCUAUUUAGGUAGCGCCUCGGACGAAUACUACUGGGGGUAGAGCACUGUUAAGGCUAGGGGGUCAUCCCGACUUACCAACCCUUUGCAAACUCCGAAUACCAGUAAGUACUAUCCGGGAGACACACGGCGGGUGCUAACGUCCGUCGUGGAGAGGGAAACAACCCAGACCGCCAGCUAAGGUCCCAAAUUACUACUAAGUGGGAAACGAUGUGGGAAGGCUCAGACAGCCAGGAUGUUGGCUUAGAAGCAGCCAUCAUUUAAAGAAAGCGUAAUAGCUCACUGGUCGAGUCGGCCUGCGCGGAAGAUGUAACGGGGCUAAGUAGUAAACCGAAGCUGCGGCAAU
This 808-nucleotide ribosomal RNA is filed under the name Vibrio alginolyticus. RNAcentral's name for it is "partial 23S ribosomal RNA". It matches the Rfam family "Bacterial large subunit ribosomal RNA", at positions 398 to 1209 of the family's 2925-position model. RNAcentral also lists the same sequence under 1 other name. Lineage: Bacteria; Pseudomonadati; Pseudomonadota; Gammaproteobacteria; Vibrionales; Vibrionaceae. The record is from RNAcentral.